RNAcentral lists this unclassified non-coding RNA (761 nucleotides) under 'Brassica rapa' phyllody phytoplasma. RNAcentral's name for it is "partial contains 16S ribosomal RNA, 16S-23S ribosomal RNA intergenic spacer, and 23S ribosomal RNA". The stretch from base 281 to 761 matches the Rfam family "Bacterial large subunit ribosomal RNA", at positions 1 to 518 of the family's 2925-position model. Lineage: Bacteria; Bacillati; Mycoplasmatota; Mollicutes; Acholeplasmatales; Acholeplasmataceae. The record is from RNAcentral.
GGAUGGAUCACCUCCUUUCUAAGGAAACAUAGAAUCAUCAUCUUCAGUUUUGAAAGACUUAGUUAGGUUUUUCUAAUUUGAAAAACUUAGUUAAGUUUUUCUCAUUUCUUUUAUUUUUUGGUAUCCUGGGCCUAUAGCUCAGUUGGUUAGAGCACACGCCUGAUAAGCGUGAGGUCGGUGGUUCAAGUCCAUUUAGGCCCACCAAACGUUUUGCUAAAAAAAACGUGUUAUCAAAAAAAAGUUCUUUGAAAAGUAGAUAAACAAGAAAACAAUAGCCAUUUUUAAAGGAAGUAAGGGCGUACAGUGGAUGCCUUGGCACUAAGAGCCGAUGAAGGACGCAAUUAACGGCGAUACGCCAUGGGGAGUUGUAAAUAAAUGUAGAUCCAUGGAUUUCCGAAUGGGGCAACCUACUACAAUAAACUUGUAGUUUUUUAGUAGUUUACUACUAAAAAGGGAAACGCAGUGAACUGAAAUAUCUAAGUAACUGCAGGAAAAGAAAGUAACAACGAUUCCGGUAGUAGUGACGAGCGAAUCCGGACCAGCCUGAUACGAAUCCUAGUUAUCAAAGAAAAAAAUAUCUGAAGUUUUUGGAAAAAAACACCCUAGAAGGUAAGAGUCCUGUAAGGAAAAUUUUUUUCUCUAGCGUAUCGAAAAGUACGGCGAGACACGAGAAAUCUUGUCGGAAGACGGGAGGACCAUCUCCCAAGGCUAAAUACUCCUUAGUGACCGAUAGUGAACAAGUACCGUGAGGGAAAGGUGAA